CUGUGACGUGAUGAUGCUGCUCAUCUUCAUCUCCAGCUGUGUGGGUGAUGGAGGCUGAGGAUUGUGUGGAUGAUCAGGAGCUUCACUCUGAAUCCUGACCUCCUCCUUGUGCUUCAGUGGUUUCUGGCUUCAUAACUUGGUCACCAUGGCGACCAUCUGGAUGACUGAGGUCCCUGAUUUGACUUUCUGAGAUCAGUCGUCACUGUUAAUGUUUAUAUUUUGUUGUGAUUGUUAAAAGUUAGCAGGCUGUUACAUCUGGUAUCAUGUAUUGGUGUUUGUCCUCUAAUAUAUCAGG
Molecule: long non-coding RNA, 295 nt
Filed under: Oreochromis niloticus (Nile tilapia)
Lineage: Eukaryota; Metazoa; Chordata; Actinopteri; Cichliformes; Cichlidae
Description: lncRNA (ENSONIG00000033252.1)
Source: RNAcentral